GACGAACGCUGGCGGCGUGCUUAACACAUGCAAGUCGAACGGAAAGGCCCUGCUUUUGUGGGGUGCUCGAGUGGCGAACGGGUGAGUAACACGUGAGUAACCUGCCCUUGACUUUGGGAUAACUUCAGGAAACUGGGGCUAAUACCGGAUAGGAGCUCCUGCUGCAUGGUGGGGGUGGGAAAGGUUCGGCGGUUGGGGAUUGACUCGCGGCUUAUCAGCUUGUUGGUGGGGUAGUGGCUUACCAAGGCUUUGACGGGUAGGCGGCAUGAGAGGGUGACCGGCCAUCCUGCGGCUGAGCAGCGGCCCAGACUCCUACUGAAGCUAGCAGUCGGGAACACUGCACAAUGCGCGGACGCCUGCUGCCGCAACGCAGCGUGCGGGAUGACGGCAUUCGGGUUGUAGGCCGCGUGUGCCUGUGACGAAGCGUGAGUGACGGUCCUGGGUAAAGAAGCACCGGCUAACUACGUG
RNAcentral lists this ribosomal RNA (468 nucleotides) under uncultured bacterium. RNAcentral describes it as "partial 16S ribosomal RNA". It matches the Rfam family "Bacterial small subunit ribosomal RNA", at positions 28 to 507 of the family's 1533-position model. The record is from RNAcentral.